This 847-nucleotide ribosomal RNA is filed under the name Alternaria sp. TD23. Its description in RNAcentral is "eukaryotic LSU rRNA". It matches the Rfam family "Eukaryotic large subunit ribosomal RNA", at positions 49 to 789 of the family's 3401-position model. The record is from RNAcentral. Lineage: Eukaryota; Fungi; Ascomycota; Dothideomycetes; Pleosporales; Pleosporaceae.
AACGGAAGGAAGAAAACAAACAGGGAUUGCCCUAGUAACGGCGAGUGAAGCGGCAACAGCUCAAAUUUGAAAUCUGGCUCCUUCAGGGUCCGAAUUGUAAUUUGCAGAGGAUGCUUUGGGAUUGGUCCCCAUCUAAGUGCCCUGGAACGGGACGUCACAGAGGGUGAGAAUCCCGUACGGGAUGGGGUGUCCUCGCCCGGGUGAACCUCCUUCAACAAUCCAAUUUGUUGGGAAUGGCACUUUUAAUGGGGUGGUCAUUUUCUCCUAAGGUUAAUUUUGGGCCGAAAACCGUUGCCGCACAAUUAAAUGGUUCAAAAAAUGAAAACCCCUUUGAAAAAAAAUUUAACAACCACUUGAAAUUGUUAAAAGGAAACCCCUGGCGACCAAACUGCUUACCGGGGUUCAUCCGGGUUUCUUCCCGGUGUACUCCCCCGCGGGCGGGCCAGCAUCAGUUUGGGCGGUCGGACAAAGGUCCCCGUCACGUACCUCCCUUCGGGGAGGCUUUAUACGGAAGACGACAUGCUACCUGCCUGGACUGAGGACGCGCUUCUGCUAGGACGCUGGCGUAAUGGUCUGUAAACGGCCGUCUUGAACACGACCAAGAGUCUAACAUCUAUGCGAGUGUUUGGUGUCAAGCCGAGCGCGUAUGAAGUGAACGGAGGUGGAACCCGCAGGUGCACAUCGACGAUCCUGAGUCUCGAAGAUUGAGUAAGCUGCUGUGGACCGAGAUGUCACAUGCUGAUCGCGAGCAAGGAACCUGUGAGCUCACGGUCUACAGCAAUCGACGUCAAUCGGUAUGGCGAGACUAUCGACAUAGUACUGUCUGCAAUACACCGAAGAAAAGACC